Molecule: ribosomal RNA, 460 nt
Filed under: uncultured bacterium
Lineage: Bacteria
Description: partial 16S ribosomal RNA
Rfam family: Bacterial small subunit ribosomal RNA
Source: RNAcentral
CCUACGGGGGGCUGCAGUGAGGAAUAUUGGUCAAUGGACGAGAGUCUGAACCAGCCAAGUAGCGUGAAGGAUGACUGCCCUAUGGGUUGUAAACUUCUUUUAUAAAGGAAUAAAACGAGGCACGUGUGCCUUUUUGCAUGUACUUUAUGAAUAAGGAUCGGCUAACUCCGUGCCAGCAGCCGCGGUAAUACGGAGGAUCCGAGCGUUAUCCGGAUUUAUUGGGUGUAAAGGGAGCGUAGAUGGGUUGUUAAGUCAGUUGUGAAAGUUUGCGGCUCAACCGUAAAAUUGCAAUUGAGACUAGCAGACUUGAGUACAGUUGAGGUAGGCGGAAUUCGUGGUGUAGCGGUGAAAUGCUUAGAUAUCACGAAGAACCCCGAUUGCGAAGGCAGCUUACUAAACUGUGACUGACAUUGAUGCUCGAAAGUGUGGGGAUCAAACAGGAUUAGAUACCCGGGUAGUC